UUGUGUUUAGUUUCACCUACUUUACAACUAUGGAACCAUAGAUUCUGUGACUGUCAAUUUUUUUCCUCAUAAAUCUGGUCAAUUAUUAUUUGCUUCCAAAUUUUGUAUUUUGUCUUGCCUGUACAGGUGAAAUAAUAUAAAGUUGUCUCCAACAACUCAUACACUUACAAUAUUGGUUGUGUCUAUGUCAAUUUAUUUACUUCUGAAUCUUAUUUGCAAGGCAGAUUGCUGGGACAUUCAAUCCAUUUGUUAGUUAUAAUUUAUAUGCAUUCUGUUAAUGCCAUGGUUCUAUGUUUUAGCUUUCAGUUGGAUUCUAGGUAGAUUUAAAUGUGGAACUAAUUUGAUAAAUCUAGAGGGUUAUUGUGUGAACUGAGUUUGUGAAACGGAAGUUUUAGUUAUAAUUUUAUAAUCUAUGUGUUGCAUCAGUGCAUUACUGCAUUAAAAUAAUUAUACAGCCAAAAGAAUGAUUAAGAUUAAAAUAAUUUUAGUAAGUAAUUCUGGUUGAAAUUUGUUUACGUUGUUGAUGCUCCAGAUAUAUUGACAAUUAUUGAAAAAAUCCCAUAUCUGUCAGAGUUUUUGAACUCCUUGUACGAGUGUCAAUAUAAAUCAUUUUUCGUUGCUUUUGGUAAGUUGAGAUCUAUUAUAGCCCAUAAUCUUAUACAUACCAAUAAAAUGUUAAAAGAAAUAAGUUCUUUUGGUUUCUUUGCAUGGUCUGAUUUCUUGCAACACUCUGAGCUCCUUGGUGUUUGCGUAUGUGAUAUGGUAUAGCUAUAAGAGCUAGUCCUACCAAUUCCAAUUAAUUUAUUUAUAACUUGUUCAAUUCUAUAUAUAACUUGUAUAUUCUAUUACAUUUUUCAUUUUCAACUGCCCUUACGGAGCAAAUAAAAUUGGAUCGCUAUUUGCAUCCACACUUUCGUUACUAUAUGAGGGAGGUCAGAACUGUGGGUUAUUCCCAGUUUUUGGAAUCCUGUAAAAGUGUUACAAUUGAAGCAAUGGCUAAGGUAUUUGGAGUUACAGUGGAGUUUAUUGAUUUGGAGCUCUCGCGUUUUAUUGCUGCAGGGAAGCUUCAUUGCAAGAUUGAUAAAGUUGCAGGCGUUCUUGAGAAAGUAAGAAAGGUAUCAACAACGAACAUUUUUUUCAAGGUUUGAUGGAGCGGUUACAUAGUGAGAAAGUAAGGUAUGAUGAUAUUUCUCGCAUCCACGACGAAAUAAUGACUGCAUUUAUAGACUCCAAUCAGCGUCUUCACUCACUUCGUGAAGAGGCUUCCUGUGUCAAAGAGUUGCUUCUCCAAAUUGAGAAUCAGUUGUCCAGUUGUGAGGCUGAGACUAAGGAGCUAGAGACUCGUGUAGGUGAGGUUUCUAGGGAUAUGUUGGAGUCUGAAAAGAGUUUGCAGACUGCAUCUCAGGAAGCAGAAGAGGCAACAAAACUUUGUCAUCAAAGGGAGCAAAAGCGUAAUGCAGCCAAGGCAGCCUUAGAGAUGGCAAGAAUUAAGCUUCGGCAGUGAUUGUAUAUUAACCAUUCUCAAUGUAAAGUACAACAAUGGUGUUUAUAUAUGUAGAUUAUGCUGUAUGAUAGUGUAGAUUGAUGUGUCUCCGUAGUCC
Quercus robur (English oak) is the source of this 1601-nucleotide long non-coding RNA. RefSeq lists it as uncharacterized. The transcript has 2 exons. The record is from RefSeq and is a predicted model, not a curated record. NCBI's taxonomy places the organism in Eukaryota, Viridiplantae, Streptophyta, Magnoliopsida, Fagales, Fagaceae.